CUUGGUCUCUUCCUUCCAUGGUUUGUUAGGCGGUCUCGUUUAGCUUAUUACAAUGAUGAUCUUUAGCUCCCUCUUCUGAUUAGAGUUGAAGAGAUUGGCUGGCAGAAUCGAACCUAUGACUUUUACAGCCACCACUGAGUAAUCUUCUGAUCCCCAACGUUGAGAAGUUAGUUAAUUUUUGAUUGUUUUUUAAAUUUAUUCUCUGACGAAAUGAAUUUUAAACUAAUAUUGUUUAAGAUGGUGAUGAAGCACUAAUAUCCAACACUUGAACUGAGGCAUAUUGUCGAGUGAUGUUUUAACAUUCAUUGGCUUCUGAAUCUGAUUGUCAUUUUUCUGAUUCUUAUCUUUGUUGGAAUCUAUGCAACUGGUGUUGUUUGCCAAAAUUUUGUGUGAUUGAAUUAGAAAUCAGGCGUUUGAGUGGUGUUUGCUUUUGAUUGUUGGUCUUUGUUGACAAAAGAAAAGAACUCAGAUCCCUCAAUGCUUUUGCUGUUGGUUAUCUGAUGAUUAGCUAGUUAUGGUUGCCAUAUGUCUUGCAUUUUGAUUCUGAUCACGCAUAAGAUUUAUGGUUGGAGUCAUCAAGUGAUGAGAAUGGAAAAAUCUUAGGACACCUUCCUACAUGGUUUUUGUUAGGCCAUGGAUGAGAAUAACUUUCCGUUCUGAUGAUGACUACCACCCAUGAUAUGUUUUGCCAUUUGGUGGCUGGUAAAAUACCAUCCAUUUGAGUAUGUUAUGUGAUGCCGUAAAUAUGUUCUUAAAAAUCUGCACCAUAUGGUAAUGAAUGUACUGGUUAAUCACUUAAUCCCAAUUACGUAAUACUGGUUUAUGUUUGCAUUCUUUUAGGAAAAAUAAUAUGAAGUGAAAUUUUAGCUUGAGAGAGUCCUCCCUUGGUCCCUUUUACGAAAUCUUAUGUUGGUCGGCAUAAUUAAUAAUUGUAUUAUUGCUGUAUAAGUAUUUUACCAUCUUCCUUUCCUAUUUCCUAUGAGCUUGAACUGGUCAUUUAUGUUGUACGAAAGUCAAUUUUUUGUGACUAGAAACCAUGGCUGUGAUUUCUGCUUGUCAGACUUGAGGUUUGUGCUUGAAGAAGUCAGGUCGGAGUUAGGCUCUCGCCCGGUUUGCAAAUUUAUGUUUUGUCCAAGAAACCAAAAUUCGGUGGCUGAUGCAUUGGCUUCCCUUGGUAGAUUGGCUUUAUCAGAUUCAGAUUAUGUUUGUUUGGAGGGGGUCCCCCGUCUAUUUUUCUGUAGCUUUAGCUGAUUGUAAUCCUUCUUUAGUUUAUGAUGAGCAGUUUCUUUAA
Tripterygium wilfordii is the source of this 1291-nucleotide long non-coding RNA. RefSeq lists it as uncharacterized. The transcript is spliced from 2 exons. The record is from RefSeq and is a predicted model, not a curated record. NCBI's taxonomy places the organism in Eukaryota, Viridiplantae, Streptophyta, Magnoliopsida, Celastrales, Celastraceae.